AUCCGAUCUGUAUCUUGGCGGGGCAUACUGUUUUAUGCAGCCAUGGCGUGGUUUGACCCUCUUUUUGCUCGAGCGUAACACAGAUUUGAGCCUCAAUUUACUGGUCUCUUCGUCCAUUUCAAUUGAGGGAGUAUUAUUAGCAGCUUCAGGGUACUAUAAGCAAAAGUUCAUAAAUAAAAAAUGAGGCUAACAGGGCUUUUGAUUUUUUUUUUGUUGAAAGGGUGGUUGACUCUCUCUGCAUUCAGCCAAUGCAUUCUCCAUACUUUGCUUUUAUUGCUUCGGAUGGCUUGGAAGAGGCGAUGAUGAUUCUUGUAACUUUAUUCCCUUCUGAGCUGAUUAAUUGAGCAUUGGAGGUUAUCCGACCCGUAUCUUGGCGGGGCAUGCUGGUUUUUGCAGCCAUGGCGUGGUUGGACUCUCUUUAUACUCUAGUUUAACACAGAUCUGAGCCUCAAUGCACUGAUCUCUUCGUCAAUUUAAACUGAGGGAGUAGUAUUACCAGCUUCAGGGUACUAUAAGAAUGAGGCUAACAGGGAGUUUGAGGAUUUUCGUUGAAAGGGUGGUUGCCUCUCUCUGCAGUCAGUCAAUGAUUUCUCCAUUAUUGUAAGAAUCCCAACAACCCUCUUAUCAAUUUUAAACAGAGGAAGUAUAUGAUUAUCAACUUUUGUUUGAAAUGGGUUUCUAUAUGCCCUUCCAACUCUUUUUUUCAACUCCUUUUUAAUGCUUCCGCUGGAUCAUUGAUUGUUGCCACUGGAGCUGGUGGAAGCAAUGGUGCUGAGAAUAAUUGGACAGCUUGAAAGAGGCAAUGAUGAUUUUUGCCAAUGUUUAUUCCCUUCUGAGCUGAUUAAUCGGGCAUUUGAGGUUAUCCAACCCGUAUAUUGGCGGGGCAUGCUCCCAGAUUUUCUGGUGGCUUUUGCAGCCAUGGCGUGGUUGGAAUCUCUUGUUGCCUGAGCUUAACACAAAUCUGAGCCUCAAAUUUUUCUCUGUUCAGCUUGGCUUUUUUUGUUAUAUUUAGGGUAUGUUUGGUAUGAAGGAAAAUGUUAUCGAGAGUUGAGAUACAAAAAACGAAAAGCUCAGAAGGGAAUGAAUGAGGCUACAAAGAGUUGAGGAUUUUCAUUGAAAGGGUGGUUGCCUCUCUCAACAUUCAGCCAAUGAUAUCUCCAUUACUAGGUUUUUAUGCCCUUCAUCUCUUCUUUUCAACUCCUUUUUAAUUCUUCUGCCGGAGCAUUGAAUGUUGCCGGUGGAGCUGGUGGAAGCUAUGGUGGUGAGUAUAAUUGGACGGUUUGAAAGAGGCGAUGAUGAUCUUUGUCAAUUUUAUUCCCUUGUAAGCUGAUUAAUUGAGCAUUUAAGGUUAUCCGACCCGUAUCUUGGUGGGGCAUACUGGUUUAUGCAGCCAUGGCGUGGUUGACUCUCUUUUUGCUCGAUCUUAACACAGAUCUGAGCCUCAAUUUAGCGGUCUCUUUGUUAAUUUUAACUGAGGGAGUAUUGUUAACAGCUUCAGGGUACUAUAAACAAAAGCUUAGAAGGAAAAGAAUGAGGCUAACAGUGAGUUUGAGGAUUUUUCAUUGGAAGGGUGGUUGCCUCUCUCUGCUUUCAGCCAGUGAUUUCCCCAUUACUGUAACAAUCCCAACCGCCUUUUUAUCGAUUUUAAACAGAGGAAGUAUAUAAUUAGCAACUUUUGUUUGAAAUGGGUUUCUAUGCCUUUCAACUCUUUUUUUUUCUUUUUUCUAAUGCUUCUGCUGGAGCAUUGAUUGUUGCCAGUGGAGCUGGUGGAAGCAAUGGUGCUGAGUAUAAUCGGACGGCUUGAAAGAGGCGAUGAUGAUUUUUGCCAAUUUUUAUUCCCUUUUGUGCUGAUUAAUUGGGCAUUUUGAUGUUAUCUGACCCGUAUCUUGGCGGGGCAUGCUCCCAGAUUUUCUGGUGGUUUUUGCAGCCAUGGCGUGGUUGGACUCUCUUGUUGCCCAAGCUUAACGCAGAUCUGAGUCUCAAUUUUUCUCUAUUCUGCUUGGGCUCUUCUUUGCUUAAUGUUAAGGGUGUGUUUGGCAUGAAGGAAAAUGUUUUCGAGAGUUGAGAAACAAAAAGCAAAAAGCUCAGAAGGGGGAGUGAGGCUACAGAGAGUUGAAGAUUUUUCAUUGAAAGGGUGGUUGCCUCUCUCAACAUUCAGCCAAUGAUUUCUCCAUUACUGUAAGGAUCCCAACAACCCUUUUAUCAGUUUUAAACGGAGGGAGUACAUAAAUAACAGCUUGUUUGGAUUGUUGUUACAUAUUGUUUUAAGGGUUUCUAUGCCCUUCAACUCUUUUUUCAACUCCUUUUUAAUGCUUCCGCCGGAGCAUUGAAUGUUGCCGGUGGAAGCGAUGUUGGUGAGUAUAAUCGGACGGCUUGAAAGAGGUGAUGAUGAUUUUUGCCAAUUUUUGUUCCCUUAUGAGCUGAUUAAUCGAGCAUUUUGAGAUUAUCAGACCCGUAUCUUGGCGGGGCAUGCCACCAGCUUUUCUGGUGAUUUUUGCAGCCAUGGCAUGGUUGGACUCUCCUUUUGCCCAAGCUGAGCUGAUUAAUCGGGCAUUUGAGGUUAUCAGACCCGUAUCUUGGUGGGCCACCAGUUUUUCUUGUGGUUUUUGCAGCCAUGGCGUGGUUGGACUCUCCUUUUGCCGCCCAAGCUUAACACAGAUCUGAGUCUCAAUUUUUCUCUAUUCAGCUUUGGCUUCUUUUUUUUUUGUUUAAUAUCAAGGGUGUGUUUGAUAUGAAAGAAAAUGUUUUCAAGAGUUGAGAAACAAAUGUCAAAAAUCUCAGUAGGGAAAGAAUGAGGCAACAGAGAGUUGAGGAUUUUUCAUUGUAAGGGUGGUUGCCACUCUCUGCAUCAGCCAAUUAUUUCUCCCUUGAUUGCAUUCUCUUUUCUCUAAUGCUUCUGCCGGAGCAUUGAUUGUUGCUGGUGGAAGUGAUGGUGCUGAGUGUAAUUGGAUGGCUUAAAAGAGGCAAUGAUGAUUUUUGCCAAUGUUUAUUCCUUUCUGAGCUCUGAUUAAUUGGGCAUUUGAGGUUAUCCAAACUGUAUCUUGGCGGGGCAUGCUCCCAGAUUUUCUGGUGGUUUUUGCAGCCAUGGAGUUGUUGGACUCUCUUGUUUCCCGAGCUUAACACAAAUCUGAGCCUCGAUUUUUCUCUAUUCAGCUUGGCCUUUUUUUGUUAUAUUUAGGGUGUGUUCCAUAUGAAGGAAAAUGUUUGAGUUGAGAAACAAAGCAAAAAGUUCAGAAGGGAAUGAAUGAGGCUACAGAGACUUGAGGAUUUUUCAUUGAUAGGGUGGUUGCCUCUCUCAACAUUCAGCCAAUGAUUUCCGUUAACUGUAAGAAUCCCAACAACCCUUUUAUCUGUACAAUAUCAAAGUGAAAAGUAAGAACACCCCUGAACUUGGCGCAAAUUAUCAAUUUCGUCUCCGAUCUAUUGACAGCCUUAAAAAACACCCCUCUAUUUGACUAACUAAACUUAGAUACAUCCUCGAUCUGUCAUAUCAAUGACAUAGCAAGCGGUCUCAAACUCUUGUAGGAGCAUGAGACUCUUAAUAAAAAAUCGAAAUAAGUGUUAAAAACACCCUAAACUUGACGAGAAUUUAGGGGCGUAUUUCACUCAUGUUGCAAGAUCGGGGGUGUAUUUUAGUUCAAUUAGUCAUGUAAAGGGGUGUUUUUAAGGGUCUCAAUUGUUUGGGGAUGAAACUAAUAUUUCGCACAGAGUUUAGGGGUGUUUUCAGUACUUCUCUCUAUAUUAAAAGCAUGAAAGCCCUUAGAAAUGUUGAUUGACGUAUAUAAUUAACAGCUCAUUUGGAUUGUUCUUACAUAUUGUUUAAAAGGGUUUCUAUUCCCUUCAACUCUUUUUUUAAUGCUUCUGCUGGAGCACAGAAUGUUGCCGGUGGAGCUGGUGGAAGCUAUGGUGGUGAGUAUAAUUGGACGGUUUGAAAGAGACAAUGAUGAUUUUUGUCAAUUUUUAUUCCCUUCUGAGCUGAUUAAUCGAGCAUUUGAGGUUAUCCGACCUGUAUCUUGGCGGGGCAUACUGGUUUUUGCAGCCAUGGCGUGGUUGGACUCUCGUUUUGCUCGAGCUUAACACAGAUCUGAGCCUCAAUUUACCGGUCUCUUCGUUAAGUUUAACUUAGGGAGUAUUAUUAACAGCUUCAGGGUACUAUAAGCAAAAGCUUAGAAGGAAAAGAAUGAGGCUAACAGUGAGUUUGAGGAAUUUUCAUUUGAAGGGUGGUUGCCUCUCUCUGCUUUCAGCCAGUGAUUUCCCCAUUACUGUGAGAAUCCCAACAACCUUCUUAUUGAUUUUAAACAGAGGAAGUGUAUAAUUAACAGCUUUUGUUUGAAA
Molecule: long non-coding RNA, 4335 nt
Organism: Solanum stenotomum
Lineage: Eukaryota; Viridiplantae; Streptophyta; Magnoliopsida; Solanales; Solanaceae
Exons: 4
Source: RefSeq, a predicted model, not a curated record